GACGAACGCUGGCGGCGUGCUUAACACAUGCAAGUCGAACGGAAAGGCCCUGCUUUUGUGGGGUGCUCGAGUGGCGAACGGGUGAGUAACACGUGAGUAACCUGCCCUUGACUUUGGGAUAACUUCAGGAAACUGGGGCUAAUACCGGAUAGGAGCUCCUGCUGCAUGGUGGGGGUUGGAAAGUUACGGCGGUUGGGGAUGGACUCGCGGCUUAUGAGCUUGUUGGUGGGGUAGUGGCUUACCAAGGCUUUGACGGGUAGCCGGCCUGAGAGGGUGACCGGCCACAUUGGGCCUACGAUACGGCGCAGACUCCUACGGGAGGCAGCAGUGGGGAAUAUUGCAGAAUAGGCGGAAGCCUGAUGCAGCAACGCCGCGUGCGGGAUGACGGCCUUCGGGUUGUAAACCGCUUUCGCCUGUGACGAAGCGUGAGUGACGGUAAUGGGUAAAGAAGCACCGGCUAACUACGUG
Molecule: ribosomal RNA, 468 nt
Filed under: uncultured bacterium
Lineage: Bacteria
Description: partial 16S ribosomal RNA
Rfam family: Bacterial small subunit ribosomal RNA
Source: RNAcentral